RNAcentral lists this ribosomal RNA (573 nucleotides) under uncultured rumen bacterium. RNAcentral's name for it is "bacterial SSU rRNA". It matches the Rfam family "Bacterial small subunit ribosomal RNA", at positions 347 to 916 of the family's 1533-position model. The record is from RNAcentral.
GGCAGCAGCUAAGAAUAUUCCACAAUGGACGAAAGUCUGAUGGAGCGACGCCGCGUGAGCGAUGAAGGCCGUGAGGUUGUAAAGCUCUUUUCCGGAGGGGGAAUAAGCGGGGCAGGGAAUGGCCCCGCGAUGACGUGAAUCCGGGAAUAAGCCCCGGCUAACUACGUGCCAGCAGCCGCGGUAACACGUAGGGGGCGAGCGUUGUUCGGAAUCAUUGGGCGUAAAGGGCGCGCAGGCGGCCGUGCAAGUCUGGUGUAAAAUGGUCAUGCUCAACAUGAUCAUGCGCUGGAAACUGUGCGGCUCGAGUCAACGAGGGGAUGCCGGAAUUCCAGGUGUAGGGGUGAAAUCUGUAGAUAUCUGGAGGAACACCGAUGGCGAAGGCAGGCAUCUGGCGACUGACUGACGCUGAGGCGCGAAGGUGCGGGGAGCAAACAGGUUUAGAUACCCUGGUAGUCCGCACAGUAAACGAUGUGCACCAGGUGGCGGGCAGCAGUGCUCGGUACCGAAGCAAACGCAUUAAGUGCACCGCCUGGGGAGUAUGCUCGCAAGGGUGAAACUCAAAGGAAUUGACGG